GUCGGGAUAGUUCAGUUGGUAGAGCAGAGGACUGAAAAUCCUCGUGU
RNAcentral lists this transfer RNA (47 nucleotides) under Valeriana montana. RNAcentral's name for it is "partial tRNA-Phe". Lineage: Eukaryota; Viridiplantae; Streptophyta; Magnoliopsida; Dipsacales; Caprifoliaceae. The record is from RNAcentral.